GUUUUAUUCUUAUUCCUUAAUAGAGAGAAUUCAUUCUAGAUCGCUAACUUGUUUUCUCCAUUUCUCUCUUUACUGUUUUUACCUAUAAAAAAUAAACUUAACUUAUAAAGAUUUUUUUUAGCAGAUCAGUCUCUCUGUGACAGAAGCACACAACACUUGACAAUUUUUGCUUAUUACACAAACCAGAAUAUCCUAUAGAUUUCAUCUUCUUGCUAACAUAACUGGAUUAGCAAUCAGAAACAAAUGCAAUUAGAUGACAAUUGUAUGGAAUAGGAAAAAUGUAAUUAAAUAGUAAAGAGCAAACAAAGAUGUUUUUAUUCCAUGAGAAAAAUAAAUUUCAGGCCUUGAAAUAAAAUAUUCUAUACAAGCGAAGAAUAAGAUUAAAAAGGUAUUUAGAUACACAUGAGGCCUGGUGCCAUGAAACAGUGAUAUUGAAUAAGUGUUAAUAUUAUUUUUGGCAGUAAAUAACUUAAAAAUAUUCAGAAUAAAAUGCAUCAGGAUAUUAAGAUUAACAGAAGGCAGAGUUUCCAGAGCCUCGUUUACAUGACUAUAUAUAUAUUUCUUUUUUUCUUAAAGCUUAGAAGUGGUUUUAAAACAGAUUACAACAUUUGCAUGAAUGAGUACCAAAUGAACAAUGAAUUUGUGAAGAAAAUGAGCCCUCCACCCAGUCUAGUAAUUUUAUGGUUCAAAAGUCAUAUCAGAUUAUUUUUAAGCCUUUAUUUCAUUGUGGGUAUAAAUUUGAAGUAUUAUCUCAAAUGUGAAGAAGCAUGAAACAGCUCAUUGUGGAGUUCAAGCAAAUAGAAACAACUACUGCGGCUAUUUCUAUACUAAGCUCAUCCCUAAAUUCAAUUGCGAUUUUAAUUAUUUUGAGAUAGUUUGGGCUUGGGAGACGUCCUUAAGGGUUAGUUGUUAUAUAAUGAAAAAUAUUGGGCAAAAUUAUUUGAACAGACUGUUAAGAUGACAAGGUAAACAAAUGAACAGCUUUCCUAUCCAGUUAUUUCUUUUCCUUUAUUCAUCAACAAAUCUCAGAAGAAACUAUGUUCCAGGAGCACAUUGUUCUCAUGCUUUGGAUACAAAGUUAAAAUUGAUAUAACCCUUUUUCAGGAGAAGUUCACUGUUGGCUAGGGAAGAGAAACACAAAAACAGAUCAUUGUAAGGCAACGUUCGAAGUGUUAAUAAAGAAGGAUGAGAAUUGUUUGCCGUUGGGAAUGAUUACCUUUGAAUAGACAAGUCUAGAAAGUCUUCAUGGAGAAGUCCUGGGUCCUGAAGAAAGAGUAAGAGAUUAUCAGGAAAAGAAAAGAGGAAAGCAGGAUGUCUUCUGUGGUUACUUUUUAAAUCUAAAUAUUUUAAACGAUUGAAUAAUCUGAGGGAGCAUGCUGGGAGUCAGCCAGAAAACAGUCUGAAUGGACGCAAUUUGAGAAACAGUCGACCUUGGUUAACUGCUUUAUUGGGAUAGAGCCACAGACUGUAAAAUUCACUCUUUGAAAGCACACAGCAUUAUUCACAACAGCCAAAGGAUGCAAACAACCCAAAUCCAACUCAAGUGGUGAAUGGCUAAAUUUGGUCAAUGAAAUGUAAACUGAAAUGUCUUAUGGAACUUUCUGCCAUAUCUGGAAGUGGCCCUUCUAUCUUGUCUCUUCUUUUGGCCUGCAACUAAGAUGCCAGAAGUUGCAGCUGCUGUCUUGAACCAAAAGGUACCCUGAAGAUGGAAGCCAUGUGCCAACAUGAUGGACAGAAACAUUGUAGCUUGAGACUCUCAUGUUCUCAGAGAACUGCCAGGCCAACCCAGGAACGCCGACCUCCAGACUUCUUUUACCAGAGAAAUACAUUUCCGUAUUUUUGAGCCAACUUUGUUUUAGGGGUUUGGUUAAAUGCUGCCAAACUAAUCCUAAUUAAUACAUUUGUCGAGCUGAUGAUUUUAAACUACCUUAAUAAGGCCAAUUAUUCAAUCUCAGAGUCUUGUAUAACAAUCUUUAACAGCAUUUAUCCUUUGGGACUUUUUAUAUGGUUUUAACAGGAGACAUGCUUUGUCCACAACGAGAGGAAAGGGAAACCCACAUAUAUUGGAUACCCAUAAUGAAUUAACUUCUUCCACAUACAUGAAUUUAUUUAAACAUCACACCUGGGACGGUGGGUAUUAUUUGCCACAUUUUCAAAUAAGCAAACUUAGGCUACAGAUGUUUACUUGGCUUGCCCUCAGUCACCGUGUAAGAAAGCUGUGGAGGUGGAAUUUGAACCUGUGUCUGUUUGGCCCCAGAGCCCAUGCCCUUCCCAUGACCCCUCACUGCACACAACCAACCACAUAAACUCAUUCUCAAAGGCCCAAGAUUGGUUUCCUCAUCACGUGGCUAAAGAGGUAUCAGCAUAGUUAUUUCCUUUGGCAUAGUCUACCUUUACUUUUUCAUUUUCUGGCACUUUGAAAACUUGGGGUCCAUUGCUUUAAAUCCAUCUUUAUUUCUCACAGGCCUUGUUUUCAAAUCACAGAUUUCUAUUCACAAGGUGACAGCGGCUCCUAAAUAUCUCCCUCAACCACUCUGACUUGCUAGAGCCUGUCGUUCCAGUACCAAUAAAAUGCAAGUGACUCAAAUUGAGAUUACCAACCUCUCAUCAGACCAGCUGGAGAGAGUGCAUGGUCUGCCUUGGCCACACCCAGUUCUCUUUCCCAGAGUUUUUCUCAUUUACUAAAUAUGAUCUCAAGGCUGCUCCACCUUCUGUACUCUCUAUCUCAGUGAACGUCAUCACCGUCCAUCCUGUUGCUUAAACCAGAAUCCUCUGAAUCAUUCUUGAUACCUCCCUCUCCAUCAUCCACCACAUACAGGAAACAUUAAGCCUCCUUUUCCUUAUCUUUUAUGUGUAACAUUAAUCCAUCCCCUAUUUCAGGCCAGUACUCGCUUAUUGAUAUUAUUGCUAAUUUUUCUCCUUGCCUCCAGCCAAUUCUACACUUCAAAACACAAAUUUUAUGUCAUUCCUCUUUUUUUUUUUCUGGGAAAGAUUCACCGUGAGCUAACAUCUGCUGCCAAUCUUCCUCUUUUUUUUUUUUAAGUCCCCAACACCCCAGCACGCAGUUGUAUAUUUAAGUUGUAAGUCUUUCUAGUUCCUCUGUGUGAGCCGCUGCCACAGCAUGGCUACUGACAGACAAGUGGUGUGGAUCUCUGCCUGGGAACCAAAGCCAGGCCGCCAAAGCAGAGUGUGCCAAAUUUUAACCACUAGGCCAUCAGGACUAGCUCUUGUUCCUCUUUUUUUUUUUUUUUUUUCAAGAUUUUAUUUUUCCUUUUUCUCCCCAAAGCUCCCCUGGUACACAGCUGUAUAUUUUUAGUUGUGGCUCCUUCUAGUUGUGGCAUGUGGGACGCCGCCUCGGCAUGGCUUGACGAGUGGUACCAUGUCUGCGCCCAGGAUCCGAACUGGUAAAAUCCUGGGCCACCGAAGCAGAGCGCACAAACUUAACCACUCCGCCAUGGGGCUGGUCCCUCAUUCCUCUUUUUAUUUUAAUUUUUAUUGAAGUAUAACUUAAUAAAGGUAUUAACUUAGUAAAGUGCCCAAAUCUUAAAUAUAUGACUUGAUAUGUUUUUAAAUAUGUAUACCAGAUCAAGACAGAGAAUAUUCUGGCACUCCAGAAGGCUCUCUCAUGCCCUCAUUUGAGUCAUACUCCACCCCCAAGGUAACUACUAUUCUGAAUUCUGUCACCACAAAUUAGUUUUGCCUGUUUUAAAAACUCGUAGAAGUGGAAUCAUACAAUAGGUUCUUUUUUGUGUAUGACUUUUUCACUCAAUGUCUAUGAUAUUCAUUCAGUAUGUGGCACUCCUCUUUAUUGCUAUGUAGUAUUUCAUUCUGUGAAUACAUCUCAAUUUAUUUACCCUUUUCACUGUUGAUGGAUGUUUGAAUCAUUUAUAGGUUUUAGAUAUUAUGAAUAAAACUGUUAUGAACAUUUUUGCCUAUAUCUUCUGGUUGACACAAGCACACAUUUCUGUUGGUACAUAACCUAGAGCAGAAUUGCUGGGUCAGAGAGCAUUAGUAGGUAUUAUUAUUAUGUUGUGUUGUAUUGUAUUAGGUAGGUAUUCGUAGGUAUUGUAUUAUAGGUAGGUCUUAUAAGAAUUCCAGUUAUUCCACAUCCUCAUCAACUCUUGGUAUUGUCUAUCUUUUUAAUUUUAACCAUUCUGGUGGCUUUAAAAAUCUUUCUAUGACACCUCACCUAGAUAAAGUCCAAACUCCAUAACAUGAUAGACAGUCCUUCAUAACCUGAAUUCUACUUAUCCAUUUAGCCUUAUCUCUAAUCUCUGCCCACCUUGAACUUGAAGCUGUAUACCUAAUAAAUUACUUGUGGAUCCUUGAGUGCUCUUUGUUUGGUUUUGUUCUGCUUCGCUUCUGGUCUCUGAACUUCCUCUUCUCCUGUGCCUUCUUUUCAUUUGGAUAAGUCUUUCUCAUCCACUGAGCCUCAGCUUAAAC
This 4443-nucleotide long non-coding RNA is filed under the name Equus caballus (horse). RNAcentral describes it as "lncRNA (ENSECAG00000059781.1)". The record is from RNAcentral. Lineage: Eukaryota; Metazoa; Chordata; Mammalia; Perissodactyla; Equidae.